This is a long non-coding RNA of Alosa alosa (allis shad), 1085 nucleotides long. RefSeq lists it as uncharacterized. The transcript has 3 exons. Lineage: Eukaryota; Metazoa; Chordata; Actinopteri; Clupeiformes; Clupeidae. The record is from RefSeq and is a predicted model, not a curated record.
AUAAAGUUCUAUAAUAUCUAUCUAUCUAUCUAAGUGGAGGAUUUGACUGUUGAUUCAGAUAGACUUAUACAUAGUUUUCUUUAAGGCGCUCAAUGCCUUCAGCCCCUUGCAUUCCCCAGGGGGACCCUGCAGUUUGGACUGUGUCGUGCUCCCAUCGAGCCCUUGACUGAAGCGGAGUGGUUCACAAACCAAAUAGCCUAUAUUAAACAGCCUAUAUUUAUUUAGGUCUUAAAUUGGCAGAUGCACCAGUGCGGUGCAUUUUGUGCGGACCACUUGCUUGAAUUGUGUCUUCUAUUUGAGGGGAAGUGAACUUUUUUUCAUGUGAAGUUGCAGCCUGUAUAGGCUAGUCCUAAAAAGUGUAGGCUAUACCCUACCCAGCGGGCACCUUGAUGUCAAUUUGAUGUCAAGAAUUAGUCAAGGCUUUGACCAACAUGUUGAGCAUAAUUUCAUACUAUUUUAGCUUUACAAGCUGGCUUGCUUGUGAUUGUAAAGAGGUUUAACAGGGACAUGUAGUCACUAUAAAACUUGGGUCAUUAUGAUUAAUGUUAAAUCAGUCAAAUUGAUCUGAAAUUGACAUCACACCAUAUGAGAACCAUAAUAAUCAUAAUAGUAGUAAUAAUAGCCCACUAGGCUAAUGUUACUAUUGUUUGGACACUUCUAUCAAUCAGUUUAGUAGCCAUUUCAAUGUAACAGUCUAAAAUGGCAACAAUAAUUUUCACAUAGGCUACGAUUGUUUUUAACGCUCUUGAUAAGCGCAUGCGCACACAUAGCAAUUCCCAUCCCCCACCCCUGACUGACAUUUCAACUCCAGCCACCAGUGACUUCAACUGUCACUUUUCUGUCAUGCAGCUGACUACAUGUGUAAGCUGUUCAAACUCUGCCUGUCCUUAUCAUUCAAGACUGUGUGUUACGAGGACUGCUUCCCUGAGAAUGCUGAGUGCAUUCUGGAAUAUUCCAAAUGUGUGCCACUUCCAUACGGACGCCCGCAAGAGAGUUCACUCAUCAGGUCAAAGUUGGUCUGUCCUGAUGGCACUACCUGCUACUUGAUGAUGUCUAGUAGCCAUCGCUGCUGCCUUCAACUUGGU